GGCGCGGUAGCAAAGUGGUAAUGCAGUGGACUGCAACUCCUCCAUCGUCGGUUCGAUUCCGACCCGCGCCU
This 71-nucleotide transfer RNA is filed under the name Porticoccus sp. RNAcentral's name for it is "tRNA-Cys". It matches the Rfam family "tRNA". Rfam says of the family: Transfer RNA (tRNA) molecules are approximately 80 nucleotides in length. Lineage: Bacteria; Pseudomonadati; Pseudomonadota; Gammaproteobacteria; Cellvibrionales; Porticoccaceae. The record is from RNAcentral.